UAAGUCAGAGUUUGUGGUGGUGGUGUGUCACCAUUUACAGAAACAUUGUAGCAAAUAUCAUUGCCAAGCAGUGCUGCAGUUUUGUUGCUCGAUACUUUAGUAAGGUUGGAGUUGAGGUUUUGUAUGGCUUGCACAAGAGGGGUGUAGGAAUCUGGUGUGAAAUAGCUGAAUGCAAACGUUGAAUCAAUGAUCGUUCCUCCAGUUCCAUCGGCAAGAAUGCCUUGCACCAGAAAAGUCAACAUGUCGUUGAUACUUAUGGAUCUCAAGCCGAUGUAAUACAACGCAGUGGAAAUUGGAUUUACGAUCAUUGGAGUGUAAGAAAGAGAGGAGUUCGAUGAUAUCUUAUAAUUUCCGAACACGAUUUUGCCACUAAACGUAUCAGAUGGAGCACAAUAGAUAAACUUGCCUGUAUAGUCCAUUUCAGCAAGUUGUCCGAUGAAUGACUUGUUUGUCUUUGCAAAUCCCACCAGGCCUGAUGUACUGAGAAUUCCCAGCAAUCUCGUGCUUUGUCGACCACAUCCAAGUGACAUUCUAAGGCUUUUAUUGCCUCUAGUUUUACGUGGAGCUUUCAUGGUUACAACAUCACUAGCCAUCUCACCAGCUGAGGAGUACCUGGGGCUGUAAGAAGCAUUAUAUAAGCAAGUCGUGGAACCCACUGCUGAAGAUCCACAAGAGUUUGUGGAGAAACCAGGGGAUGUCGAGCAGAAAGGAGAGGUGCAAGGAAUUCUACUUUAAGAUGUGGAUGAUGCCGAUGAAAAGAGGGGUUCGUUUGUGGAAACAUUGCAAUCGAUGCAAGGAGAGCAAGCAGCCCAGAAGAAUUCCGAGUUAAGUGCCAUGGUGAAGUUGUGCUGCAUAGGAGGAGUUCCCAAAUUGACAUUCAUGGCGAAGUUGAGGCCGUUAUCUGGAGUUCGUCUUCGCUUCCAGGCGGCAACUCCCAUCUCGAAUCCCUCUUCUAUCGCAACUUUCAAGACCGUUCUUGCAAUAACAUUGGCCAACCCUAAAGGAGCAGCCUCGACGUGAGGACGACUAAAUUCCCAAAUGCACACAAGAGCCAGUAGGAAACAAAGCACAGACCGACACCUCUCCAUGGAGGAUUGAGAAACUCUUGGAAGAUUGGAAAAACUAGAUUGAGAAACUCUUGAGGCAAGAUUGAGGCAAUAUAUAUUUGAUGACAUAUCUGACUCUUUCAAUCAAUAUAUGUAACAACAGUUUUCAUAAACAUCAUCCUUUUUGUAAAAGAUAAGACCGAUUGAUCUGGACACUUUAAAAUAUUUCAGUUUACCUUUUACCAAUAUAAAAACGGGCAAAACAAAUGGCUGGAUUGAGACAAACGUUAUGACAAGAUAAAGUUUUGAAGGUGUCUUAAACAAGCAGGAGAUACGUCAGGAGAGGAAGAAAAGAAAACAAUUGAGUUGUAGAAGAUUUCCACACAAAGAUGUAUGUCCAAGCACACAGUCGCAUUUUCAGCAUAUUCAUCUAGCAGAAAACAUGUCUGAAAUUCAACCUGUAUCCCAUCGUCUAAGUGAUAAGUUGGAGUUUGUGGUGGUGGUGUGUCACCAUUUACAGAAACAUUGUAGCAAAUCAUUGCCGAGCAGUGCUGCAGUUCCUUUGCUCGAUACUUGAGUGACGUUCCCGGUUUGAGAUCCAUAAGUAUCACGUUGAAUUUUCCAGUGCAAGGCAUUCUUGCAGAUGGAACUGGAGGAAUGAUCAUUGAUUCAACGUUUGCAUUCAGCUAUUUCACACCAGAUUCCUACACCCCUCUUGUGCAAGCCAUGCAAAACCUCAACUCUAAUUUGGAUUUACUAAUGGCUCGACUAAUUGGCUUAUCCUUUUAGUGUGGCUCGUCCAGAAUGGUACAGGUAAGCCUUCAUUGAUUUUCGCCCAACCAAUCGUCCACCCCAAGAUGGGGACGGACGAGCCCAGUUAUGGGAAGUAGUUUGGAUAUGAAAAGCAAGUUAAUCUAUUUUGAUGCGUUUAGUGGCAAAAUCGUGCUUGGGAACUAUAAGAAAUCAGGGAUUUUGAGAGGCUCUAUGAUGUGUUUCAGGACAGAGAGAUUGAAGAACACAAAAGAGCUGCGUCGUUUUCUCUCUGCAAAGGUAUAUUGAUGCUGCUGCUGAAGUAUCACAAUUAUCGAUUGGCUCCAAGUAUGUAUGUUAUUAUGCUUUCCUGAUUAUGAUUAUUGGACAGUUUUCGUGAGGGAAACAAUGCCAGAAUCAAUUUAGAGUGAGUAGUGUUACAGCAUAAACAAUCAGAGUGUUUACUUUUUAGCUUCUCCAAUGCUUGUUUUACAUCUUCAAUGCUCGCAAUUUUCUUAAACAAAUUGUUUAUCGAUCUUCAAUUCAUAAUACUUAUGCCCUUUCCUGUUUUUGAAUGUACAAAUAACAAUUCCAUUGUUGAGCUGCAAGCAAAAGGAUUUUGGCAUGUGUUUGAGGUUCUACCUUAAUCUUGAGAAAUCUUUCAGAACUUUUUUCCCUCCAGCUUCUUUGGUUGAGCAUGAAUUUCUGUGGAGAUGAUGGGCAAAGAGAUUCCCAGCUGAGUCAAGCUUGUCCAAAAUCUUGUCUGCAUAUGGCUUCAUUACUCAAUUAAAAACCACAAUCUCAUAUAUCUUGCUCAUCUUUUUUAAAAAACUAUUCAUGCUCAACCUCUUUGCCACAAAGUAACACUUCAGUAGAAUAGUUUUCCCACUGAAGAGCUUAAGGGAUGCUAUGGCCUUGUGGGCAUGGAUUAAUGUUUAACACAAGAUGGGGUUUAUUCUCUAAAGGUGGUGGUAGCAAUAAAAAAUCAUCUUCUCUUUGGUGGUGAUGUUGAGUGUUGCAAAACUCCACUCCUAUGGCCUCUUCAUAGUUAUGAAGAAAGAUAGAAAGAAUGUGAGAUUGCAAUAAAUCUUUAUAAAUCAAGUUAAUACACUUCCAUAAUUCUGGCCGAGCAGCAUGUAGAAAUUCAACCCCAACACCAAGAGUCUCUAGGCAAAUUGAGCUCCACGCUCAGGCCUUGUGGAUCUUUUGGAUCUUCUAGCAAGCAGCUAGUAGCGAGACCCAAGCAACACUCUGGGGCUUGAAAGGCAUGCUGUGGAUGAGCUCUUUGGCCUUGUCUAGCUCUUUGGCCCUUGGAAACAUGUCAACAAACCCACAAUAGUGUUCUCCUAUGGCUUGACUCCAUAGUCUUGAAUCAUUAACUAAAAGUAGUCUUGAGAAAUCUUCACCACCUAAGUGGCAACAUGCCACAAACAUGCUCAUAAAGACAAUGUGAUUGGGCAUCAUGCUCUCCUGGAUGGUCCUAUGGAAGGUUUCCAAGGCCUCGGUUACAUGCCGGUGGAAGCAUCCAUGGCCACCACUGCAGUCCAUGAGACCCACUCUGGCAUUUUCUCAAACCAAACUCAAGCUUCCAAAAGGAGUCCCUUGUGAACAAAACCCACCACCAUUGCCAUCCAGGCAAUCACAUCACACUCCUCCAUCGCUUGGAAGGGGCUCAUCACUUCCUGGAAGUGCGUUCCAGAGAUAGGCCGAGAGGAGUGCUGUGCUUGCUGUCUUGCUAUUGUAAGGCAUUCGAUCUAAAAUAAACUUUGCAUUUUCAAGAUGGUUUCUAGAGGUAAGCAUAUGCAUCAUUGUCGUCCAAGAGAUCUCAUCACGGUGAGCCAUCUUUUGGAAAGAAUCUAAUGCCUCGUCCAAAUGCCCAUUCGCGGCAUAUCUGCAAACCAUGGAGUUCCAAGCCACGUCUUUGUUUGGCAGCCUAUCAGACAAAGCUUUAGCCUCCUCCAUAGAGCCGUUAGAUGCGUAGCCGUCAAUCAUAGCCGUAAAUGUCACCUCAUUAAGAUCUGGGGCAUCUUCAAAGAGAAUCUUUGCUUGCUCCAUAUGCCCUGCCUGGGCAUAUGCUGUGAUCAUGGUCCUCCAUGUUACUACAUUCCUUGUGGGCAUUCUAUCAAAGAGAUCUUUAGCUUCAUCCAGCCCCGGGUUGUGGCAUGGCCUUGUACCAUGGCCGCCCACGCCACCACGUCCUUUUGGGGCAGAGUUCACGUGCGCAUGAGAGAUGCCCGUUAUGGGCAUAUGCCACGAUCAUGGAGGUGCUAGAAACGAGGGUUUCCUCCGGCAUGGAGUGGAAUACCGCCUCCGCCUCGCCGAGAUUGCCACUCUGCGAGUACAUCUCGAUCAUCGUGUUCCAGGUGAUGGAAUUCUUUGGCAGGGAUGCGAUCGAAGAGCUGCUUGGCGCGCUGCACGUCCCCGGCCGCGAGAUCAUGGUGUUGCUGGACACAAUCUCCUGCGGCGGCAUGCUUCCCAGGACCGAUCGCGCCUGCUCCAGGUCGUGGUUGGGAAUGUAGGCCUGGAGGGUGAGAUUCCAAGAGAAGAGAUUGCGAUCCGAGGUAGAAUCGGCUUCCUCCAGGCAGCCGCAGCGGCCAUACAUCUGGACGAGGAGAUUUCGCAGGAAGACGCUGUUAUUGUGGUCGCUGUGAAGGAUCUGGGCGUGGAUCCGGCGGCCAUCGCUGGGAUUGUCGCAAGAUCUGACGAGGGCGACAAGCUCUUGGACGCCAAGAACGCGCAUCGCAUCAUGGCCGUUGGAUGAUGGGGACGUCCGAGGUUCAAGUCCUGGCAGGUUCUAGCUUCCAGCCACGAAGUUUUCAUGGCACGCGGCGAGAACUCAUCCCCCAUCGUGCAGCCGCACUCCAAAUGCCAGAGGCAAUCGCAAUCGGGCGCGCUCGUCAACGACACAAUUAAUUUCCAUCUUUUCUUGUGGCUUGGAUGGAUUUCUCUUGCUGCGAGUUCAGCAAGUUGUCCGAUGAAUGACUUGUUUGUCUUUGCAAAUCCCACCAGGCCUGAUGUAUUGAGAAUUCAAAGAAGCUAUAUAUCUCGAGUUUACAAAUCAAUCCAGACUGAAUUUUCUAUGUUGACGCGGUUUGUAUAGUAAACUUGACAAGACAAAGUUUUGAAGGUGACGUGAGGAGAGGAAGAAAAGAAAACACUUGAGUUGUAGAAGAUUUCCACACGAAGACGUAUGUAAAACCAGAAGAAGUGUCAAGGUUCAUACAUCCUGCCGUUCCAAAUCCAAUCUCCUGCUUUUCCAGAUCAAACUCCACUGCCACAUCCAGCUGCUGGUAGGUUCCUAUAACAUUCAGUGAGAACCCCACCUUCUGUGAGUCUUCAAACAGCCAAGCACACAGUAGCAUUUUAAGCAUCACCAUCUAGCGGAAACCAUGUCCGAAAUUCAACCUGUGUGCCAUUCUCAAAGUGAUAAGUCAGAGUUUGUGGUGGUGGUGUGUCACCAUUUACAGAAACAUUGUAGCAAAUAUCAUUGCCAAGCAGUGCUGCAGUUUCGUUGCUCGAUACUUUAGUAAGGUUGGAGUUGAGGUUUUGUAUGGCUUGCACAAGAGGGGUGUAGGAAUCUGGUGUGAAAUAGCUGAAUGCAAACGUGGAAUCAAUGAUCGUUCCUCCAGUUCCAUCUGCAAGAAUGCCUUGCACCGGAAAAGUCAACGUAUCGGUGAUACUUAUGGAUCUCAAGCCGAUGUAAUACAAGGCAGUGGAAUUUA
This 5518-nucleotide long non-coding RNA is filed under the name Selaginella moellendorffii. Its description in RNAcentral is "long non-coding RNA (SMOE_LNC000865)". Lineage: Eukaryota; Viridiplantae; Streptophyta; Lycopodiopsida; Selaginellales; Selaginellaceae. The record is from RNAcentral.